This 497-nucleotide ribosomal RNA is filed under the name uncultured bacterium. RNAcentral describes it as "partial 16S ribosomal RNA". It matches the Rfam family "Bacterial small subunit ribosomal RNA", at positions 28 to 507 of the family's 1533-position model. The record is from RNAcentral.
GAUGAACGCUGGCGGCGUGCCUAAUACAUGCAAGUCGAGCGAACAGACGAGGAGCUUGCUCCUCUGACGUUAGCGGCGGACGGGUGAGUAACACGUGGAUAACCUACCUAUAAGACUGGGAUAACUUCGGGAAACCGGAGCUAAUACCGGAUAAUAUAUUGAACCGCAUGGUUCAAUAGUGAAAGACGGUUUUGCUGUCACUUAUAGAUGGAUCCGCGCCGCAUUAGCUAGUUGGUAAGGUAACGGCUUACCAAGGCAACGAUGCGUAGCCGACCUGAGAGGGUGAUCGGCCACACUGGAACUGAGACACGGUCCAGACUCCUACGGGAGGCAGCAGUAGGGAAUCUUCCGCAAUGGGCGAAAGCCUGGCGGAGCAACGCCGCGUGAGUGAUGAAGGUCUUCGGAUCGUAAAACUCUGUUAUUAGGGAAGAACAAAUGUGUAAGUAACUAUGCACGUCUUGACGGUACCUAAUCAGAAAGCCACGGCUAAUUACGUG